GACGAACGCUGGCGGCGUGCCUAAUACAUGCAAGUAGAACGCUGAAGGAGGAGCUUGCUUCUCUGGAUGAGUUGCGAACGGGUGAGUAACGCGUAGGUAACCUGCCUGGUAGCGGGGGAUAACUAUUGGAAACGAUAGCUAAUACCGCAUAAGAGUAGAUGUUGCAUGACAUUUGCUUAAAAGGUGCAAUUGCAUCACUACCAGAUGGACCUGCGUUGUAUUAGCUAGUUGGUGAGGUAACGGCUCACCAAGGCGACGAUACAUAGCCGACCUGAGAGGGUGAUCGGCCACACUGGGACGGAGACACGGCCCAGACUCCUACGGGAGGCAGCAGUAGGGAAUCUUCGGCAAUGGACGGAAGUCUGACCGAGCAACGCCGCGUGAGUGAAGAAGGUUUUCGGAUCGUAAAGCUCUGUUGUAAGAGAAGAACGAGUGUGAGAGUGGAAAGUUCACACUGUGACGGUAUCUUACCAGAAAGGGACGGCUAACUACGUG
This 495-nucleotide ribosomal RNA is filed under the name uncultured bacterium. RNAcentral describes it as "partial 16S ribosomal RNA". It matches the Rfam family "Bacterial small subunit ribosomal RNA", at positions 28 to 507 of the family's 1533-position model. The record is from RNAcentral.